AGAGUUUGAUCCUGGCUCAGAUUGAACGCUGGCGGUAUGCUUAACACAUGCAAGUCGAACGGUAACAGGCAAAGCUUGCUUUGCGCUGACGAGUGGCGGACGGGUGCGUAACGCGUGGGAAUCUGCCUUAUAGUGGAGGAUAGCCCGGAGAAAUCCGGAUUAAUACUGCAUAAGCCCUACGGGGGAAAGCUGGGGAUCUUCGGACCUGGCGCUAUUAGAUGAGCCCGCGUUAGAUUAGCUUGUUGGUGAGGUAAUGGCUCACCAAGGCAACGAUCUAUAGCUGGUCUGAGAGGACGAUCAGCCACACUGGGACUGAGACACGGCCCAGACUCCUACGGGAGGCAGCAGUGGGGAAUAUUGCACAAUGGGCGCAAGCCUGAUGCAGCAAUACCGCGUGUGUGAAGAAGGCCUGAGGGUUGUAAAGCACUUUCAAUAGUGAAGAAAAGUUGUUGGUUAAUAACCUUCAACCUUGACGUUAACUAUACAAGAAGCACCGCUAACU
This 502-nucleotide ribosomal RNA is filed under the name uncultured bacterium. Its description in RNAcentral is "bacterial SSU rRNA". It matches the Rfam family "Bacterial small subunit ribosomal RNA", at positions 8 to 502 of the family's 1533-position model. The record is from RNAcentral.